RNAcentral lists this ribosomal RNA (945 nucleotides) under uncultured archaeon. RNAcentral's name for it is "bacterial SSU rRNA". It matches the Rfam family "Archaeal small subunit ribosomal RNA", at positions 1 to 922 of the family's 1478-position model. The record is from RNAcentral.
UUCCGGUUGAUCCUGCCGGACCCCACUGCUAUCGGGAUGGGACUAAGACAUGCUAGUCGAGCGUCUCCAAGCUAUGGAAGAGACGCGGCACACAGCUCAGUAACACGUGGCUAACCUGCCCUUGGGACAAGGACAACCCCGGGAAACUGGGGCUAAUCCCUGAUAAGUGAGAACUCCUGGAAUGGAUUUUCGCUGAAAGGACGUGUAGACCAUGCGUCUAGGCGUCGCCCAAGGAGGGGGCCGCGACCGAUCAGGUUGUUGGUGAGGUAACGGCUCACCAAGCCUUUAACCGGUACGGGCCGUGAGAGCGGGAGCCCGGAGAUGGGCACUGAGACAAGGGCCCAGGCCCUACGGGGCGCAGCAGUCGCGAAAACUCCGCAAUACACGAAAGUGUGACGGGGCCAUCCCGAGUGCCAUCCGCUGAGGAUGGCUUUUCCCCAGUGUAUAAAGCUGGGGGAAUAAGGAGAGGGCAAGCCUGGUGUCAGCCGCCGCGGUAAUACCAGCUCUCCGAGUGGUGGGGAUGCUUAUUGGGCCUAAAGCAUUCGUAGCCUGCUUGGCAAGUCCUCCGUUAAAUCCAACGAUUCAAUCGUUGGGCUGCGGGGGAUACUGUCCAGCUAGGGGGCGGGAGAGGCCGACGGUAUCCCCGGGGUAGGGGUGAAAUCCUAUAAUCCCGGGAGGACCACCAGUGGCGAAGGCUGUCGGCUAGAACGCGCCCGACGGUGAGGGAUGAAAGCUGGGGGAGCGAACCGGAUUAGAUACCCGGGUAGUCCCAGCUGUAAACGAUGCAGGCUAGGUGUUGGCGCGGCUACGUGCCGCUCCAGUGCCGCAGGGAAGCCGUUAAGCCUGCCGCCUGGGAAGUACGGCCGCAAGGCUGAAGCUUAAAGGAAUUGGCGGGGGAGCACCACAAGGUGUGAAGCUUGCGGUUUAAUUGGAUUCAACGCCGGG